CACAGUGUUUUAAAAACCGGACCGGUCAUCGAACCGGCGAGGGUACUGGGUCACUGGUUCAUUGGUCGAACCACUGGGUCACUGGUCGAACCGCAUGACAAACCGGAUUAAACCGGAUUAAACCGAUGGAAUGAACCGGUCUCUAUGAUAAGACUAUAUAGUUAUUAAACCGGUUGAAUCAGAUAUCUCGGUCUUUAAAAAAGUAUAAAAAUAUGAAAAUUUGAAAAUUUCAUAAAAAGAAUGCCAUAAAUU
RNAcentral lists this long non-coding RNA (252 nucleotides) under Trifolium pratense (red clover). RNAcentral's name for it is "long non-coding RNA (TPRA_LNC007107)". The record is from RNAcentral. Lineage: Eukaryota; Viridiplantae; Streptophyta; Magnoliopsida; Fabales; Fabaceae.